UACGUAGGUGGCAAGCGUUGUCCGGAAUUAUUGGGCGUAAAGCGCGCGCAGGCGGUCUCUUAAGUCUGAUGUGAAAGCCCACGGCUUAACCGUGGAGGGUCAUUGGAAACUGGGGGACUUGAGUGCAGAAGAGGAGAGUGGAAUUCCACGUGUAGCGGUGAAAUGCGUAGAGAUGUGGAGGAACACCAGUGGCGAAGGCGACUCUCUGGUCUGUAACUGACGCUGAGGCGCGAAAGCGUGGGUAGCGAACAGG
This 253-nucleotide ribosomal RNA is filed under the name uncultured bacterium. RNAcentral describes it as "partial 16S ribosomal RNA". It matches the Rfam family "Bacterial small subunit ribosomal RNA", at positions 524 to 776 of the family's 1533-position model. The record is from RNAcentral.